GCCGGUGUGGCUCAGUGAUUAGAGCAUUGGCCCGCAUACCCAAGGGUCACAGGUUCAAUUCCCAGUCAAGGGCA
RNAcentral lists this transfer RNA (74 nucleotides) under Myotis brandtii (Brandt's bat). It matches the Rfam family "tRNA". Rfam says of the family: Transfer RNA (tRNA) molecules are approximately 80 nucleotides in length. Their secondary structure includes four short double-helical elements and three loops (D, anti-codon, and T loops). The record is from Rfam by way of RNAcentral. Lineage: Eukaryota; Metazoa; Chordata; Mammalia; Chiroptera; Vespertilionidae.